AGUCGAGCGAGUCUGCCUUGAGAUCGGAGUGCUUGCACUCUGUGAAACAAGAUACAGGCUAGCGGCGGACGGGUGAGUAACACGUGGGUAACCUGCCCAAGAGAUCGGGAUAACACCUGGAAACAGAUGCUAAUACCGGAUAACAACAGAUGAUGCCUAUCAACUGUUUAAAAGAUGGUUCUGCUAUCACUCUUGGAUGGACCUGCGGUGCAUUAGCUAGUUGGUAGGGUAACGGCCUACCAAGGCGAUGAUGCAUAGCCGAGUUGAGAGACUGAUCGGCCACAUUGGGACUGAGACACGGCCCAAACUCCUACGGGAGGCAGCAGUAGGGAAUCUUCCACAAUGGACGCAAGUCUGAUGGAGCAACGCCGCGUGAGUGAAGAAGGGUUUCGGCUCGUAAAGCUCUGUUGUUGGUGAAGAAGGACAGGGGUAGUAACUGACCUUUGUUUGACGGUAAUCAAUUAGAAAGUCACGGCUAACUACGUGCCAGCAGCCGCGGUAAUACGUAGGUGGCAAGCGUUGUCCGGAUUUAUUGGGCGUAAAGCGAGUGCAGGCGGCUCGAUAAGUCUGAUGUGAAAGCCUUCGGCUCAACCGGAGAAUUGCAUCAGAAACUGUCGAGCUUGAGUACAGAAGAGGAGAGUGGAACUCCAUGUGUAGCGGUGAAAUGCGUAGAUAUAUGGAAGAACACCGGUGGCGAAG
This 699-nucleotide ribosomal RNA is filed under the name uncultured bacterium. Its description in RNAcentral is "bacterial SSU rRNA". It matches the Rfam family "Bacterial small subunit ribosomal RNA", at positions 60 to 720 of the family's 1533-position model. The record is from RNAcentral.